AUUGAACGCUGGCGGCAGGCCUAAUACAUGCAAGUCGAACGGUAACAUAAGAAAAGCUUGCUUUUCUUGAUGACGAGUGGCGGACGGGUGAGUAAUAUUUGGGAAACUACCUGAUAGAGGGGGACAACAGUUGGAAACGACUGCUAAUACCGCAUACAGCCUCAGGGUGAAAGAAGCGAUUCGCUAUCAGAUGUGCCCAAACGGGAUUAGCUAGUAGGUGAGGUAAAGGCUCACCUAGGCGACGAUCUCUAGCUGGUCUGAGAGGAUGAUCAGCCACAUUGGGACUGAGACACGGCCCAGACUCCUACGGGAGGCAGCAGUAGGGAAUAUUGCACAAUGGAGGAAACUCUGAUGCAGCCAUGCCGCGUGUGUGAAGAAGGCCUUCGGGUUGUAAAGCACUUUCGGAGGGGAGGAAGAAAAUGACGUUACCCUCAGAAGAAGCACCGGCUAACUCCAUGCCAGCCGCCGCGGUAA
RNAcentral lists this ribosomal RNA (474 nucleotides) under uncultured bacterium. RNAcentral describes it as "partial 16S ribosomal RNA". It matches the Rfam family "Bacterial small subunit ribosomal RNA", at positions 30 to 523 of the family's 1533-position model. The record is from RNAcentral.